RNAcentral lists this small nuclear RNA (106 nucleotides) under Mus spicilegus (steppe mouse). Lineage: Eukaryota; Metazoa; Chordata; Mammalia; Rodentia; Muridae. The record is from RNAcentral.
GUAAAAUUUGUGCUUCAACAACACUGAAACUGGACUGAUCACAGAGAAGAUCCGCUUGGCCCCUGCACAAAGAGGACAGGAGAUACAUGAAGUGUUCAGUGUUGUG